UCAAAGCUGAAGCCACCACCCCCAAGACCUUUGAAUGGUUCUAUCACGCAGGCGAUCACUCAACCUAGCACGUAGCCUUCACCUACCAUGCAGUCUGCACUAGCCACUUUGCCAACAGAAACAAGUAGUUCUAUAAUUGUUAUUUAACUCUUACUUCAACUUUUUUUCUUAUUGACAUUUAUUGCUUUAACACUUGCAGCAUUCCCAAUCGAGUGUAAGCGAUGUGGUCGUACUUGUGGCUUAGACACAUCCCAGAUAGUCAAGGCCACUCAUAGGAAGCUGGAAAUCAUGUAUGAAGAUAGCAAUGGAAGACCAUCUAGUCCUAAUGCUAGUCUAUUUGUAUCUGAAAUAGGAUCUGGUGUGAGAAUAUUUGCACCUCUCCAAAAGAUCUUUUAAAAAGAUGUGUCUGAAUUUGAAAAAUUCCCUAUUUAUGACAAAGUGGAGGUAACAUUAUUGUUUUAACUUGUUUUGUUUCUUGUCCUAGUACAACUUGUACGCAUCUUUUUCUUUCUUUAAACAUUUCAUUGCUGAAGAAAGGAAUAAAGUUAAUAACAAGUUAGUAUACCAGGUAUCAAAUUGACAGGUUCUCUAAAUGAUUAGAAGUCAAUAUCUUAAUUAAAAAUAUUGGAUGUUUGCAUAUGUUCAUUGACAUGUAUGCAUAUCUUGAAUGAUCUGAAUUGCUGGCACUUUGAUUUUGGUUGCUUGGAGUAGCAACUUCAUCCAAUAUAUUUGUGUGAAUUUUGUGCUCGUCAUUGUGUUUUCACUCAUGGUAUGUUGCUAUAUAUAGGCUAUUUUUGAUGUACAAUAUGAUAAAUAUGCAACUCUCAAAGAGAUCAUGGAGAAAUCAAUGGCCACUUCCUCUAAGGAGUUUUGAUAUGAGCUGCACACACAUCACAAGAAGUUUCUGGACCAACCAAUGGCUCAUAGGAAAGCUAAUAAGCCUAAAGAAAUCUGACAUGAGGUUGAUUGGGAUUAUUUGAGUAACUAUUAGGAAAGUGCGAUUUUAGGUGCAUUUAUAUAUAGUAUGACUUCCAUUUAUGUUCAAUGGUUAACUUAUUUAGUUCAUUGACUUUCUUUGUUCUGUUAAUUGGACAUUACAAAAAAAGACCAAGGUAGCAAUUGACAAUAGAUCCCGACAAGAAUUUACCCAUUUUUCUUGUUCUAGAUCAUGUAUUCAAUGUCAGGCUAUGUGGGUAAGUAAGAAGGAAUAUAUUCAUCUCUAUUAGGAAACAAUUUCAAUUCAAUUCAAUUUUAUUCUUAUUUCUUCUAAUAGGAUAAUGAAACUGGACGACCAGACAAAAUUCAACUACGGAAGAACACACAUUACAAGGAUACAAAAGGCUAGAUCCAUCCUGUGGUUGAGGAGAAACAUGUAAUAA
This 1379-nucleotide long non-coding RNA is filed under the name Olea europaea subsp. europaea. Lineage: Eukaryota; Viridiplantae; Streptophyta; Magnoliopsida; Lamiales; Oleaceae. The record is from RNAcentral.